RNAcentral lists this ribosomal RNA (244 nucleotides) under uncultured bacterium. Its description in RNAcentral is "partial 16S ribosomal RNA". It matches the Rfam family "Bacterial small subunit ribosomal RNA", at positions 524 to 766 of the family's 1533-position model. The record is from RNAcentral.
UACGGAGGGGGCUAGCGUUGUUCGGAAUUACUGGGCGUAAAGCGCACGUAGGCGGCUUGGAAAGUUGGAGGUGAAAGCCCGGAGCUCAACUCCGGAAUUGCCUUCAAAACUCCCAGGACUAGAGUUCGGAAGAGGAGAGUGGAAUUCCCUGUGUAGCGGUGAAAUGCGUAGAUAUAGGAAGGAACACCAGUGGCGAAGGCGACUACCUGGACUGAUACUGACACUGAGGUGCGAAAGCGUGGGG